This 76-nucleotide transfer RNA is filed under the name Pleurocapsa sp. SU_196_0. RNAcentral describes it as "tRNA-Trp". It matches the Rfam family "tRNA". From Rfam's summary of the family: Transfer RNA (tRNA) molecules are approximately 80 nucleotides in length. Their secondary structure includes four short double-helical elements and three loops (D, anti-codon, and T loops). The record is from RNAcentral. Lineage: Bacteria; Bacillati; Cyanobacteriota; Cyanophyceae; Pleurocapsales; Pleurocapsaceae.
GGGUUGUUAGCUCAGUCGGUAGAGCGACGGUCUCCAAAACCGUAGGUCGUAGGUUCGAGCCCUGCACGACCCGCCA